Molecule: long non-coding RNA, 1157 nt
Filed under: Strigops habroptila (Kakapo)
Lineage: Eukaryota; Metazoa; Chordata; Aves; Psittaciformes; Psittacidae
Description: lncRNA (ENSSHBG00005004935.1)
Source: RNAcentral
GGUAUUGCUGGCUUGUCCCCAGUCUAAAUGAACUAAUUACCCACAACCUGUCAAGACUCUCUCAAGGAACGUAGGACUCGCCCAUAUAGUUCCCUCCCCUGAUGUUUUCAGCUAGGCCUGGCUGCUACAUAGUUCUAGUGCCUCUAUCACUCUCCAAAAUCCUGCUUCAUGUCUGGGGCAUCUCAAUGCCUUGGUGCGUCAUUCAGUGACUUCUCAGUGCUGGCAUGCAGGAGCCUGCAAUGCUGCAGCUGGGGCUGCACUGCUGUUGUGGCCCCAUGCUUCAAGGAUCUCACAAGCAAAUGGGUUCCCAAAUGGCAUCACUUGCUACAAAACGGUCAUGUCUCAAUCACUAGGAUAAGAGAUCUUUGAGGUUUCUGAACUACAAAACCUACUUUUUUUAAAACAUCUUGUGCCACAAAACCUGCUAAAAGAAUACGCUUCUUUGAAAGGUUGCUACUCCAGCAGAACAGCAAAAGCAAGCUGCUUAGAUAAUUGUAACAUAAAACUAAGGAUAACUAAACUCUGGUUUAAACUGCAUAUUUUUUUUUGUCUGCUUGUUAUCCCUCUAGCUUUUUACCUCCUUUUUUGCCUUGAUGUCCCUCUUUCCCUUUGCAGGCAGAUAGUCAGCUACUGUUCCCAUGAAUACACUGCCUGCUCUUUUCACUGGUGGGCUCAAGCCUUUGCGCACAUUCCCACACAAGCCCCAGAAAGUUCAGAGCUCUUCUGGCCUCUUUGAAGAGGGGCCAGUCCUGCAAGACUCUCCUGAUAACCCCACUCAUGUCAAUAGUCCUGUUUGUGUGAUUAAGGAUUACACAUAAGGAUGCUCAGGGGUGUUGGGGCAUCAAGAAUCUUUUCAGCUUUAAAAGAGGAAAAGGGUGGUUUGGCCUUUGGUAGAGCUUGGAGGGGUUUGUUUCCUUUAUGCCUUAUAGCUGGCAUUUUGUCAGAGCUUUCUGCGCACUAGCAUUCCCAUGACACAUGAACAUGCUCAAAGAGAAAUUUCCUGUGAGAAAUCAGUGGGCUUCAUUAAAUUUUCAAAGUUUAGAGCUGUGAUCCUCUUUGCCCCUCCGCACAGGCAGCUGGCCACGCCAGAUUCUGGUCGCUUAUGUGAACAUUUGAUAAAUCUCACUGUGGACUACAUUUGCUCUUUCACCCAAGCA